RNAcentral lists this ribosomal RNA (253 nucleotides) under uncultured bacterium. Its description in RNAcentral is "partial 16S ribosomal RNA". It matches the Rfam family "Bacterial small subunit ribosomal RNA", at positions 524 to 776 of the family's 1533-position model. The record is from RNAcentral.
UACAGAGGGUGCAAGCGUUGUCCGGAAUCACUGGGCGUAAAGAGCGUGUAGGCGGCCAGGUAGGUGGGUUGUGAAAACUGGAGGCUCAACCUUCAGAGGUCGACCCAAACCCCCUGGCUAGAGUCCGGAAGAGGAGAGUGGAAUUCCUGGUGUAGCGGUGAAAUGCGCAGAUAUCAGGAAGAACACCCGUGGCGAAGGCGGCUCUCUGGGACGGUACUGACGCUGAGACGCGAAAGCGUGGGGAGCGAACAGG